Molecule: ribosomal RNA, 490 nt
Filed under: uncultured bacterium
Lineage: Bacteria
Description: partial 16S ribosomal RNA
Rfam family: Bacterial small subunit ribosomal RNA
Source: RNAcentral
AUUGAGCGCUGGCGGCAGGCCUAACACAUGCAAGUCGAACGGUAACAGGAAGCAGCUUGCUGCUUCGCUGACGAGUGGCGGACGGGUGAGUAAUGUCUGGGAAGCUGCCUGAUGGAGGGGGAUAACUACUGGAAACGGUAGCUAAUACCGCAUAAUGUCGCAAGACCAAAGAGGGGGACCUUCGGGCCUCUUGCCAUCGGAUGUGCCCAGAUGGGAUUAGCUUGUUGGUGGGGUAACGGCUCACCAAGGCGACGAUCCCUAGCUGGUCUGAGAGGAUGACCAGCCACACUGGAACUGAGACACGGUCCAGGCUCCUACGGGAGGCAGCAGUGGGGAAUAUUGCACAAUGGGCGCAAGCCUGAUGCAGCCAUGCCGCGUGUAUGAAGAAGGCCUUCGGGUUGUAAAGUACUUUCAGCGGGGAGGAAGGGAGUAAAGUUAAUACCUUUGCUCAUUGACGUUACCCGCAGAAGAAGCACCGGCUAACUCCGUG